RNAcentral lists this ribosomal RNA (460 nucleotides) under uncultured bacterium. RNAcentral's name for it is "partial 16S ribosomal RNA". It matches the Rfam family "Bacterial small subunit ribosomal RNA", at positions 338 to 795 of the family's 1533-position model. The record is from RNAcentral.
CCUACGGGAGGCAGCAGUGAGGAAUAUUGGUCAAUGGGCGCGAGCCUGAUCCAGCCAAGUAGCGUGAGGGAUGACUGCCCUACGUGCUGUAAGCUUCUUUUAUAAGGGAAUAAAGUGAGGCACGUGUGCCUUUUUCUAUGUACUUUAUGAUUACGGCUCGGCUAACUCCGUGCCAGCAGCCGCGGUAAUACGGAGGGUCCGAGCGUUAUCCGGAUUUAUUGGGUGUAAAGGGAGCGUAGAUGGGUUGGUAAGUCAGGUGUGAAAUUUUGCGGCUUAACCGUGGAACUGCAAUUGAUACUGGGCAGCUGGAGUGCAGGUGAGGGAAGCGGAAUUCGUGGUGUAGCGGUGAAAUGCGUAGAUAUCACGAAGAACACCGAUUGCGAAGGCAGCUUACUAAACUGUCACUGACAUUGAGGCUCGAAAGCGUGGGGAGCAAACAGGAUUAGAUACCCGAGUAGUC